CUUUCCCUCUGACCUUUCUGUUUGUAUGUAUCUACCUCCACACAGGUCGACAGAUCACUUCCCAUAGACGGGUUGGCAGACAAAGUCAGGAAAAUGAUGCGUGCAUCGAGGGGGCCAGAAGCUGUGCGUUGUUAUGAGUCUGAACGGUCAGAUAGCAGCAAUGACAACAAGCUGCCAUGUGGGGAAUCGUAGGUGGAUUGUUCGUUUCAGCUAGGCACGACUCCAACACCAUCAUCAAGUUAGCCGAUGACACAACAGUGGUAGGCCUGAUCACCGACAACGAUGAGACAUCCAGAGACCUGGCCGUGUGGUGCCAGGACAACAACCUCUCCCUCAACGUGAUCAAGACAACGGAGAUGAUUGUGGACUACAGGAAAAGGAGGACCGAGCAAGCUCCCAUUAUCAUCGACGGAGCAGGUUGAGAGUUUCAAGUUCCUUGGCGUCCACAUCACCAACAAACUAACAUGAUUCAAACACACUAAGACAGUCAUGAAGAGGGCACGACAAAACACUUUCCCCCUCAGGAGACUGAAAAGAUUUGGCAUGGGUCCUCAGAUCCUCAAAAGGUUCUACAGCGGCACCAUCGAGAGCAUCCUGACUGGUUGCAUCACUGCCUGGUAUGGCAACUGCUUGGACUCUGACCCCAAGGCACUACAGAGGGUAGUGCGUACAGCCCAGUACAUCACUGGGGCCAAGCUUCCUGCCAUCCAGGACCUCUAUACCAGGUGGUGUCAGAGGAAGGCCCUAAAAUUUGUCAAAGACUCCAGCCACCCUAGUCAUAGACUGUUCUCUCCGCUAUCGCAUGGCAAAGCGGUACCGGAGCGGCAAGUCUAGGUCCAAAAAGCUUCUUAACAGCUUCUACCUCCAAGCCAUAAGACUCCUGAAUAGCUAAUCAAAGGGCUACCCAGACCCCUCUUUUACACUGCUGCUACUCUGUUUAUUAUCUAUGCAUAGUCACUUUAACUCUACCUACAUGUACAUAUUACCUCAAUUACCUCGACUAACCGGUGCCCCCGCACAUUGACUCUAUACCGGUACCCCCUGUAUAUAGCCUCGCUAUUGUUAUUUUACUGCUGCUGUUUAAUUAUUUGUUACUUUUAUUUUCUAUUUUUUACUUAUCAAUUUUUUUACUUAACACUUAUUUUUCUUAAAACUGCAUUGUUGGUUAAGGGCUUGUAAGUAAGCAUUUCACUGUACGGUCUACACCUCUUGUAUUCGGCGCAUGUGACAAAUACAAUUUGAUUUGAUUAGAAAGCUAAAAAUCUACCUAGCUAGCUAGUUGACUGCUGUGGCUAGCCAAAAGGGACUUGUUUUGAAAGUUGGAUCAUGUAAUCCUUUGGGGCUCCCAAGUGGUGCAGCGGUCUAAGGCACUGCAUCUCAGUGCAAGAGGUGUCACUAUAGUCCCUGGUUCAAAUCCAAGCUGUCUCACACCUGGCUGUAAUUGGGAGUCCCAUAGGGCGGUGCACAAUUAGCCCAGUGUCAUCCUGGUUUGGCUGGGAUAGGCUGUCAAAGGAACUGGGAAAUGUCCAUGGCAUUGUUGUCGCCUUAGCUUGUUACAUAACUUCCUAGUGAUAGGAACCAUGAGCACCACCGCCAAUCAGCCUACACCACUGCACACACACCCGUCAUUACUAUGACAACUAGAGUAGCCAUGUCAGCAAAUGACUGCAGUCUGAACACACUCUGAUCUGGUCACUUGUAACUUGCUAUUUGGACAAUCAGUAGUACAAAACGGAUUUGAAAAGCAAAACUGAUUUGAACAUUAAGGCCUGCAGUGUGAACAAGGCUUUAGUGUUUCGGGGCUGAGCCCAGCAAUGAGUUUCGGUGAGAAAGUACAGGGACAUUUCCCCUCAGAGGUAGCUAGUGGAACCAGUCCUCUGCUGGGUCCCAUUCUCCUAUGGUAAUCCAACAGGGAGUCACACCCAUAGAGAAGCAUUGUGCUGUGGUGAAAGCUCCCUCUACGCAUGACCGAUCUGUCGGAUCGAACACACGACUAUCAGACACGCACAUACACACACUCACACUCACACAUGGUUUUCCCCGGCCCUUCAUGUCCAACACAACCAUAGGAACCAGAGAAAGAAAAGGUUACUUUAGUUGUCAGGUUAUUCAAAUACAGCAGGUCGAGCAUCUAAGUACUUACCUCAAGCCCCCAACCAACCAAAACACCACAACACCUUAGCAGGCGGUGCCACAUGUAAAGCUGGAGGUCAGUCCUUCCUGGGUCAGAGGUCAGUAUUGUGACAUGUGGAGUGGUGAUCCAUAAUGACAUGUGAACUCCUCAGUCGUUCAUUUUGUGUCAAAAUAGUGACGAUUAUGUUUGUAACAUCAUCCACCUUACCUGAGUCCUGAAUACCUGCAUCAGCUCCCUGAUCUAAGGCUUUAGCUCAGCGAGCUAACACAGUGUUAUGGUGGGCAGAAGACCUAGGUUUGAAACCCAGUCGGUCACAGUUGCACUGCUGUGGUUUACAUUUAUGGCAAUAGUUUGAUUAUAUAAGUUAUAUAAAGGAAACCGCAAUCUAAAUGGUUCAUAAACUCCCAUAUAAAACCACACAAAGAACUGGAAGGUAACAAAUGGAGUAGCCAGACAAGUCAACUACGUAUCAAUAGAAAAAGGAUAAUACACCUGCACCUGCAAGCAAAGAGUAAUGAGUUGGUGCCUGUUGAGGGAGAUUAUCGACAUUGUUGGGUCACUUCCUACUGUAUGUGUGUUUCCUCCACAAUGGGCUCACCUUUUCACCCCUGGUGCAGAUAUCCUUGCCAGACACAAGCCCAAGGCACCUCCAACCAUUUAGGAAGGCCCCAUAGUAGUUGUCUUACAAAGUGCCUGAGGAAUCCGCAAUUAUGUCAUGUAUAUAUGAUGCUAAUGUAACAGAUAUCAAUGAAACAAUAUACGUUCUAUCUGUGUGUUCUAAAUGGGUUAAUCUAUGUUUGGAAAGAGUCACAUUAAAUGAAUUCAAAAUGACACGGGAUCCAAAUUGUGGUGUAAUUAGCAGCGUUAUGCCUCCAGCAGUGAUCUUUAGGGCAACCUAUCCACAAUGAGAAUAAAAUGUAGCAUACGAGUACCUGAAUGCCUGCAUACAAGAUGUGGCUUGUGUUGGCUCUUUGCCUUAAGUACAGAUAAUCCACAAGUGUCAGUGAUUGAGGAGGUUCAAAUCCCACAGCAACAGGCGUGCAGGUGGCACUGGAAAGAAACGUCAUACCAGAAGCUUUUUU
This 3216-nucleotide long non-coding RNA is filed under the name Salmo salar (Atlantic salmon). RNAcentral describes it as "lncRNA (ENSSSAG00000114872.1)". Lineage: Eukaryota; Metazoa; Chordata; Actinopteri; Salmoniformes; Salmonidae. The record is from RNAcentral.